Molecule: ribosomal RNA, 253 nt
Filed under: uncultured bacterium
Lineage: Bacteria
Description: partial 16S ribosomal RNA
Rfam family: Bacterial small subunit ribosomal RNA
Source: RNAcentral
GACAGAGGGGGCAAGCGUUGUCCGGACUGACCGGGCGUAAAGCGCGCGCAGGCGGAUGCGGGCGUCGGUGCGGAAAGGUCGCCGCUUAACGGCGGAGAGCGUACCGAUACGCCGCGUCUGGAGCGCGGGCGAGGGUGGUGGAAUUGCCGGUGUAGUGGUGAAAUGCGUAGAGAUCGGCAGGAACACCCGUGGCGCAAGCGGCCACCUAGCCCGUUGCUGACGCUGAGGCGCGACAGCGUGGGGAGCGAACUGG